AAAAUUUGUAUAUACGCCAGACGCGCGUUUCGUCUACAAAAGACUCAUCAGUGACGCUCGAAUCGAAAAAAGUUAAAAAGGCCAAAUAAAGUACGAAGUCGAAGAGCAUUGAGGACCAAAAUUCCUAAAAGUUUUGCCAAAUCCAGCUAAGGUAAUCUAUGCCUGAGGUAGAAAAGCCUUAGUAUUUCAAAAAUUCUAAAAUUUUGUAAACAGUUAAUUUAUAAAUAUAACCAUAUCAAUGAUAAU
Molecule: long non-coding RNA, 246 nt
Filed under: Mytilus galloprovincialis (Mediterranean mussel)
Lineage: Eukaryota; Metazoa; Mollusca; Bivalvia; Mytilida; Mytilidae
Source: RNAcentral